RNAcentral lists this ribosomal RNA (465 nucleotides) under Vreelandella stevensii. Its description in RNAcentral is "partial 16S ribosomal RNA". It matches the Rfam family "Bacterial small subunit ribosomal RNA", at positions 338 to 795 of the family's 1533-position model. Lineage: Bacteria; Pseudomonadati; Pseudomonadota; Gammaproteobacteria; Oceanospirillales; Halomonadaceae. The record is from RNAcentral.
CCUACGUGGGGCUGCAGUGGGGAAUAUUGGACAAUGGGCGAAAGCCUGAUCCAGCCAUGCCGCGUGUGUGAAGAAGGCCUUCAGGUUGUAAAGCACUUUCAGUGGGGAAGAAAGCCUUGGGGCUAAUACCCUCGAGGAAGGACAUCACCCACAGAAGAAGCACCGGCUAACUCCGUGCCAGCAGCCGCGGUAAUACGGAGGGUGCGAGCGUUAAUCGGAAUUACUGGGCGUAAAGCGCGCGUAGGCGGUCUGAUAAGCCGGUUGUGAAAGCCCCGGGCUCAACCUGGGAACGGCAUCCGGAACUGUCAGGCUAGAGUGCAGGAGAGGAAGGUAGAAUUCCCGGUGUAGCGGUGAAAUGCGUAGAGAUCGGGAGGAAUACCAGUGGCGAAGGCGGCCUUCUGGACUGACACUGACGCUGAGGUGCGAAAGCGUGGGUAGCAAACAGGAUUAGAUACCCCAGUAGUC